GACGAACGCUGGCGGCGUGCUUAACACAUGCAAGUGGGGCGACGAACCAGGCUUCGGCCUGGGGCAAAGCCGCGAACGGGUGAGUAACACGUGGGUAACCUGCCCCGAAGACUGGGACAACCCGGGGAAACCCGGGCUAAUACCGGAUGUGGUCAUCGUUCACAAGGACGAUGAGCAAAGGAAGCUUCGGCCUCCGCUUCGGGAUGGGCCCGCGGCCCAUUAGCUUGUUGGUGAGGUAACGGCUCACCAAGGCUUCGAUGGGUAGCUGGUCUGAGAGGACGAUCAGCCACACUGGGACUGAGACACGGCCCAGACUCCUACGGGAGGCGGCAGUGGGGAAUCUUGCGCAAUGCGCGAAAGCGUGACGCAGCAACGCCGCGUGGGGGAAGACGGCCUUCGGGUUGUAAACCCCUUUCAGGAGGGACGAAGCUCCGGUCGCGAAUAGCGGUCCGGAGUGACGGUACCUCCACAAGAAGCCCCGGCUAACUACGUGC
This 494-nucleotide ribosomal RNA is filed under the name uncultured bacterium. Its description in RNAcentral is "bacterial SSU rRNA". It matches the Rfam family "Bacterial small subunit ribosomal RNA", at positions 28 to 508 of the family's 1533-position model. The record is from RNAcentral.